GGAUUAGAUACCCUGGUAGUCCACGCUGUAAACGAUGAGUACUAGAUGUCCGAGGAAUCGACCCCUUGGGUGUCGCAGCUAACGCAUUAAGUACUCCGCCUGGGGAGUACGGUCGCAAGACUAAAACUCAAAGGAAUUGACGGGGGCCCGCACAAGCGGUGGAACAUGUGGUUUAAUUCGACGCAACGCGAAGAACCUUACCUGGGCUUGACAUCCCGUGCCAUCCUGUGAAAGCAGGAGUUCUCUUCGGAGACACGGUGACAGGUGCUGCAUGGCUGUCGUCAGCUCGUGCCG
Molecule: ribosomal RNA, 294 nt
Filed under: uncultured bacterium
Lineage: Bacteria
Description: partial 16S ribosomal RNA
Rfam family: Bacterial small subunit ribosomal RNA
Source: RNAcentral